RNAcentral lists this ribosomal RNA (736 nucleotides) under uncultured Serratia sp. RNAcentral's name for it is "bacterial SSU rRNA". It matches the Rfam family "Bacterial small subunit ribosomal RNA", at positions 13 to 763 of the family's 1533-position model. Lineage: Bacteria; Pseudomonadati; Pseudomonadota; Gammaproteobacteria; Enterobacterales; Yersiniaceae. The record is from RNAcentral.
UUGAUCCUGGCUCAGAUUGAACGCUGGCGGCAGGCCUAACACAUGCAAGUCGAGCGGUAAGAGAGCUUGCUCUCUACGAGCGGCGGACGGGUGAGUAAUGUCUGGGAAACUGCCUGAUGGAGGGGGAUAACUACUGGAAACGGUAGCUAAUACCGCAUAACGUCUUCGGACCAAAGUGGUUCGUCACGCCAUCAGAUGUGCCCAGAUGGGAUUAGCUAGUAGGUGGGGUAAUGGCUCACCUAGGCGACGAUCCCUAGCUGGUCUGAGAGGAUGACCAGCCACACUGGAACUGAGACACGGUCCAGACUCCUACGGGAGGCAGCAGUGGGGAAUAUUGCACAAUGGGCGCAAGCCUGAUGCAGCCAUGCCGCGUGUGUGAAGAAGGCCUUCGGGUUGUAAAGCACUUUCAGCGAGGAGGAAGGGUUCAGUGUAAUCACUGUUCUUGACGUUACUCGCAGAAGAAGCACCGGCUAACUCCGUGCCAGCAGCCGCGGUAAUACGGAGGGUGCAAGCGUUAAUCGGAAUUACUGGGCGUAAAGCGCACGCAGGCGGUUUGUUAAGUCAGAUGUGAAAUCCCCGCGCUUAACGUGGGAACUGCAUUUGAAACUGGCAAGCUAGAGUCUUGUAGAGGGGGGUAGAAUUCCAGGUGUAGCGGUGAAAUGCGUAGAGAUCUGGAGGAAUACCGGUGGCGAANGCGGCCCCCUGGACAAGACUGACGCUCAGGUGCGAAAGCGUG